RNAcentral lists this transfer RNA (76 nucleotides) under Clostridiales bacterium 41_12_two_minus. RNAcentral describes it as "tRNA-Ala". It matches the Rfam family "tRNA". Rfam says of the family: Transfer RNA (tRNA) molecules are approximately 80 nucleotides in length. Their secondary structure includes four short double-helical elements and three loops (D, anti-codon, and T loops). Lineage: Bacteria; Bacillati; Bacillota; Clostridia; Eubacteriales. The record is from RNAcentral.
GGGGGUAUAGCUCAGCUGGGAGAGCACCUGCCCUGCAAGCAGGGGGUCAUGGGUUCGAAUCCCAUUAUCUCCACCA